This 312-nucleotide ribosomal RNA is filed under the name uncultured fungus. RNAcentral describes it as "SSU rRNA". It matches the Rfam family "Eukaryotic small subunit ribosomal RNA", at positions 1344 to 1680 of the family's 1831-position model. The record is from RNAcentral. Lineage: Eukaryota; Fungi.
UAACCUGCUAAAUAGCCCGUACUGCUCAUGCAGUUCGCCGGCUUCUUAGAGGGACUAUCGGCUCAAGCCGAUGGAAGUUUGAAGCAAUAACAGGUCUGUGAUGCCCUUAAAUGUCCUGGGCCGCACGCGCGUUACACUGACAGGACCAGCGAGUACCUCCUUGGCCGAAAGGGCCGGGUAAUCUUGUUAAACCCUGUCCUGCUGGGGAUAGAGCAUUGCAAUUAUUGCUCUUCAACGAAGAAUCCCUAAUAAGCGCAAGUCAUCAGCUUGCGUUGAUUACCUCCCUGCCCUUUGUACACACCGCCCGUCGCU